This is a long non-coding RNA of Bos taurus (domestic cattle), 1197 nucleotides long. The record is from Ensembl. NCBI's taxonomy places the organism in Eukaryota, Metazoa, Chordata, Mammalia, Artiodactyla, Bovidae.
GGAGGCAAGAGCACAGCCUUGACUAGUUACUGGGCUUUCUGCAGCUAGCUUGUCCAGAAGACUGCGGCUCCAAGAGGUGGUGGGUGGCAGAUGAUGCCACUGUGGUUCAGGGUGCUGAGGUCACCUGUCCAAGGUCAGGCAGCUAAAACCUGGCCCGGGUGGAAUGAAAACAUAAGAAGAACCUGACAGGCCAUGGGGAACACAGCCUAAUUAGCGAGGUGUCCCAGGCGCGGUGAUAACAGGUUGAAAGGAUGUGUGACCAAGCGGCGGUCCUGAAAGCUCAGGCCGUGUGGAUCUCCAGAAUUCUGAGGCGCCCAGCUCAGUGAGGCUCCUCACUGCCCCCCUUCCCAAUCAUCAAAAAUCAUUCCAAGCCCACAGUGUGCCCUCCGGGGCAGGCCAGAGACGCGUCUGCAUGCCAACACCUCUGGGAACUAAAAGGCCCUCCCCCAGUGGACCAGCACUGAAUUCCAUGGGUCACAAACUGUGUGCAGUGUCGCAACUGUGGUUCAAGGGGAACUCCUGGCUGAAGCCCACAAGGGGCAGGCAGGGGCAUCAAAGCAGCUGCCCUCUGCUCCCAGGGGACCUGGAAGAAAGCGGUCUUGACCUUUGCGUGACCCAUGGCCCAUGGGUGACAGAUGUCGUGCUAUGAACUGUGCCUUCACCCUAAGGCUGAGCAGCUGGGCAGAAGGGAGACACGUGAAUGGGCCGAGGCUGUGAGGGAGCAUGAGAAAGCACUGCCGUCCACACCAACGUCUCAUAACCAACAAGGGGCAUGUGGACCACCAGUCAGUGGCAUGGGCAGACGCUCCCAGAUUCUGGAGACACGGCCCUCUCUCCUAUCUCCUAAGGAUGCCUGUAACAUGUCCAAGGGCUUUCCCUUGCAUCCCUGCCCAGAAGCCCCCGAAACAGGCAGUCAAAGGUGUCCCUACUUGACAGGAAUAUCAGGCUCCCAAAGGCAAAGCGUCUGCUGGAGCUGACCAAGGCAGCCUGUGAGAAGAAGCUGCGUCCGGGCUGUCUCUUCUAUUCCAGUUCCCACGUGAGGACGCCACCUGUCUUCCUCCUGGGGUUGUCAUGGGGUCCAUCAGAAGUAGGGGUGGAGAAACUGAGAGUGAGCGAUAGAGGAAAGGGAACAGGAAAGGAGUUCUUGCUGAGCGCCUGAUGCUGAAGACUAUAUACAGGUAUAGUCUUGUCACUUAG